UCCGGUUUAACACCGGCAGUCUCCAUAGAGUGCCCAACUGAAUGAUGGCAACUAGGGAUAAGGGUUGCGCUCGUUAAGGGACUUAACCCGACAUCUCACGAUACGAGCUGACGACAGCCAUGCAGCACCUGUCUCCUUGCCCCCGAAGGGGAAACCGUACUUCUACGGCGAUCAAGGGAUGUCAAAUCUAGGUAAGGUUCUUCGCGUAGCAUCGAAUUAAACCACAUGCUCCACCGCUUGUGCGGGCCCCCGUCAAUUCCUUUGAGUUUUAAUCUUGCGACCGUACUUCCCAGGCGGGGUACUUAACGCGUUAGCUACGACACUGCGGGGGUCAAUUCCCACAACAUCUAGUACCCAUCGUUUACAGCGUGGACUAC
Molecule: unclassified non-coding RNA, 377 nt
Filed under: uncultured Oligoflexales bacterium
Lineage: Bacteria; Pseudomonadati; Bdellovibrionota; Oligoflexia; Oligoflexales
Description: contains 16S-23S intergenic spacer region
Source: RNAcentral